CGAUGGUUAGGGGUCUGACCAUGCAGGUCGAGCGGUAAACAUGGAGCUUGCUCCUGGGUGACGAGCGGCGGACGGGUGAGUUUUGUCUCGGGACCAUGCCUGAUGGAGGGGGAUACCUACUGGAUAACGGCCGCUAUUACCUCUUAUCCUCGUCCGACCCAAAUGGGGGACCUUCUGCGCCUCUUGCCAUCUCCAUGUGCCCGGAUGGGAUUAACUCUGGUGUGGGGUAAUGGCUCACCUAGACGACUAUCCCUGUCUGGUCUGAGAUGAUGACCAUCCCCCCUGUAGCUGAGACUCUGUCACACACUCCUCCGGGAGGCCGCAGUGGGCUAAUAUUGUCCUUUGGGUGCUGGCUUGAUGCAGCCUUGCUCCGCGUAUAAAGAAGGCCUUCGGGUUGUAAAGUACUUUCAGCGAGGAGGAAGGCAUUAAGGUUAAUAACCUUAGUGAUUGACGUUACUCGCAGAAGAAGCACCGGCUAACUCCGUGCCAGCAGCCGCGGUAAUACGGAGGGUGCAAGCGUUAAUCGGAAUUACUGGGCGUAAAGCGCACGCAGGCGGUCUGUCAAGUCGGAUGUGAAAUCCCCGGGCUCAACCUGGGAACUGCAUUCGAAACUGGCAGGCUAGAGUCUUGUAGAGGGGGGUAGAAUUCCAGGUGUAGCGGUGAAAUGCGUAGAGAUCUGGAGGAAUACCGGUGGCGAAGGCGGCCCCCUGGACAAAGACUGACGCUCAGGUGCGAAAGCGUGGGGAGCAAACAGGAUUAGAUACCCUGGUAGUCCACGCCGUAAACGAUGUCGACUUGGAGGUUGUGCCCUUGAGGCGUGGCUUCCGGAGCUAACGCGUUAAGUCGACCGCCUGGGGAGUACGGCCGCAAGGUUAAAACUCAAAUGAAUUGACGGGGGCCCGCACAAGCGGUGGAGCAUGUGGUUUAAUUCGAUGCAACGCGAAGAACCUUACCUACUCUUGACAUCCAGAGAACUUUCCAGAGAUGGAUUGGUGCCUUCGGGAACUCUGAGACAGGUGCUGCAUGGCUGUCGUCAGCUCGUGUUGUGAAAUGUUGGGUUAAGUCCCGCAACGAGCGCAACCCUUAUCCUUUGUUGCCAGCGGUUCGGCCGGGAACUCAAAGGAAACUGCCAGUGAUAAACUGGAGGAAAGGGGGGGAUAACUCCAGUCCUCUUGGCCCUUACAAGUAGGGGUCCCCCCUGCUUCAAUGGGGCAACAAAAAAAAACACCCCCCCCGAAGCAACGGACCUCUAAAAGGCGCGCCAAAUCCCGAUAGGAACUUGCAACCCCCCCCCGGAAGCGGAAACCCU
This 1309-nucleotide ribosomal RNA is filed under the name Enterobacter sp. HC2. Its description in RNAcentral is "partial 16S ribosomal RNA". It matches the Rfam family "Bacterial small subunit ribosomal RNA", at positions 34 to 1336 of the family's 1533-position model. The record is from RNAcentral. Lineage: Bacteria; Pseudomonadati; Pseudomonadota; Gammaproteobacteria; Enterobacterales; Enterobacteriaceae.